RNAcentral lists this ribosomal RNA (286 nucleotides) under unidentified marine bacterioplankton. Its description in RNAcentral is "partial 16S ribosomal RNA". It matches the Rfam family "Bacterial small subunit ribosomal RNA", at positions 43 to 339 of the family's 1533-position model. The record is from RNAcentral.
CAGGCUUAACACAUGCAAGUCGAACGAAGGCUCCUCUUCGGAGGAUGUCCUUAGUGGCGGACGGGUGAGUAACGCGUGGGAAUUUUGCCUUUUCGGCACGGAAUAACUAAGGGAAACUUUUGGCUAAUACCGCAUACGCCCUACGGGGGAAAGAUUUUAUCGCCGAUUGAGAAGCCCCGCGUCGGAUUUAGCUUGUUGGUGAGGUAAUGGCUCACCAAGGCGACGAUCCGUAGCUGGUCUGAGAGGAUGACCAGCCACACUGGGACUGAGACACGGCCCAGACUCC